AUUGAACGCUGGCGGCAUGCCUUACACAUGCAAGUCGAACGGCAGCACGGGAGCAAUCCUGGUGGCGAGUGGCGAACGGGUGAGUAAUAUAUCGGAACGUGCCCAGUCGUGGGGAUAACGUAGAGAAUUUACGCUAAUACCGCAUACGAUCUAAGGAUGAAAGCGGGGGACCGUAAGGCCUCGCGCGAUUGGAGCGGCUGAUAUCAGAUUAGGUUGUUGGUGAGGUAAAAGCUCACCAAGCCGACGAUCUGUAGCUGGUUUGAGAGAACGACCAGCCACACUGGGACUGAGACACGGCCCAGACUCCUACGGGAGGCAGCAGUGGGGAAUUUUGGACAAUGGGCGAAAGCCUGAUCCAGCAAUGCCGCGUGCAGG
This 375-nucleotide ribosomal RNA is filed under the name uncultured bacterium. RNAcentral's name for it is "bacterial SSU rRNA". It matches the Rfam family "Bacterial small subunit ribosomal RNA", at positions 30 to 407 of the family's 1533-position model. The record is from RNAcentral.